UACGUAGGGUGCGAGCGUUAAUCGGAAUUACUGGGCGUAAAGCGUGCGCAGGCGGUUUUGUAAGACAGAUGUGAAAUCCCCGGGCUUAACCUGGGAACUGCGUUUGAAACUACAAGGCUUGAGUGUGGCAGAGGGGGGUGGAAUUCCACGUGUAGCAGUGAAAUGCGUAGAUAUGUGGAGGAACACCGAUGGCGAAGGCAGCCCCCUGGGUCAACACUGACGCUCAUGCACGAAAGCGUGGGGAGCAAACAGG
RNAcentral lists this ribosomal RNA (253 nucleotides) under uncultured bacterium. RNAcentral's name for it is "partial 16S ribosomal RNA". It matches the Rfam family "Bacterial small subunit ribosomal RNA", at positions 524 to 776 of the family's 1533-position model. The record is from RNAcentral.